This 440-nucleotide ribosomal RNA is filed under the name uncultured bacterium. RNAcentral's name for it is "partial 16S ribosomal RNA". It matches the Rfam family "Bacterial small subunit ribosomal RNA", at positions 338 to 795 of the family's 1533-position model. The record is from RNAcentral.
CCUACGGGAGGCAGCAGUGGGGAAUAUUGGACAAUGGGGGGAACCCUGAUCCAGCGACGCCGCGUGAGUGAAGAAGUAUUUCGGUAUGUAAAGCUCUAUCAGCAGGGAAGAAAAUGACGGUGCCUGACUAAGAAGCCCCGGCUAACUACGUGCCAGCAACCGCGGUAAUACGGAGGGGGCAAGCGUUCGCCGGAUUUACUGGGGGUAACGGGAGCGUAGACGGUGCAGCAAGUCUGAUGUGAAAGGUCGGGGCUCAACCCCGGGACUGCAUUGGAAACUGUUGAACUUGAGUACAGGAGAGGUAAGCGGAACUCCAAGUGUAGCGGUGAAAUGCGUAGAUAUUAGGAGGAACACCAGUGGCGAAGGCGGCUGACUGGACUGUAACUGACGUUGAGGCUCGAAAGCGUGGGGAGCAAACAGGAUUAGAUACCCGGGUAGUC